This 2241-nucleotide ribosomal RNA is filed under the name human metagenome. RNAcentral describes it as "bacterial LSU rRNA". It matches the Rfam family "Bacterial large subunit ribosomal RNA", at positions 14 to 2289 of the family's 2925-position model. The record is from RNAcentral.
AGAGCGCACGGAGGAUGCCUUGGCACUAGGAGCCGAAGAAGGACGUGACAAACGACGAAACGCUACGGGGAGCUGUAAGUAAGCAAAGAUCCGUAGAUAUCCGAAUGGGGGAACCCACCGCUUUUAAAAGGGCGGUACGCGAAAGCGAGGUAACGCAGGGAACUGAAACAUCUAAGUACCUGUAGGAAGAGAAAGAAAAAUCGAUUUCCUAAGUAGCGGCGAGCGAAAGGGAAAGAGCCCAAACCAAUAUGCUUGCAUAUUGGGGUUGUAGGACUCUCAGAAAAACGUAUGACAAAGUAUAGUAGAACGAGCUGGAAAGUUAGACCGUAGAAGGUAAAAGUCCUGUAUACGAAAUGCUGAGUUGGCGUGAGAGAGCACCUGAGUACGGCGGAACACGAGGAAUUCCGUCGGAAUCUACCAGGACCAUCUGGUAAGGCUAAAUACUACCUAGUGACCGAUAGUGAACCAGUACCGUGAGGGAAAGGUGAAAAGAACCCCGGGAGGGGAGUGAAAGAGAACCUGAAACCGUGUGCUUACAAGUAGUCAGAGCCCUUUCGGGGGUGAUGGCGUGCCUUUUGUAGAAUGAACCGGCGAGUUACUUUAUCAUGCGAGGUUAAGUGGAAGACAUGGAGCCGAAGCGAAAGCGAGUCUUAAUAGGGCGAAAUAGUAUGAUGGAGUAGACCCGAAACCAAGUGAUCUACCCAUGGCCAGGUUGAAGUUUAGGUAACACUGAAUGGAGGACCGAACCAGGACACGUUGAAAAGUGUUUGGAUGAGCUGUGGGUAGCGGAGAAAUUCCAAUCGAACUUGGAAAUAGCUGGUUCUCUCCGAAAUAGCUUUAGGGCUAGCCUCGUUGUGAGUUUACUGGAGGUAGAGCACUGUUUGGACUAGGGGCCCAUCCCGGGUUACCGAAUUCAGACAAACUCCGAAUGCCAGAUAAAUAUCAACGGGAGUCAGACUGCGGGUGAUAAGGUUCGUAGUCGAAAGGGAAACAGCCCAGACCGCCAGCUAAGGUCCCAAAUUGUAUGUUAAGUGGAAAAGGAUGUGAUGAUGCACAGACAACCAGGAUGUUGGCUUAGAAGCAGCCACCAUUUAAAGAGUGCGUAAUAGCUCACUGGUCGAGUGACAUCGCGCCGAAAAUGUACCGGGGCUAAACAUACAACCGAAGCUGCGGAUAUAACUAAUGUUAUAUGGUAGGAGAGCGUUCUAACAUCAUAGAAGCCGAACUGGAAGGUGAGGUGGAGAGGUUAGAAGUGAGAAUGCCGGUGUGAGUAGCGAAAGAUAGGUGAGAAUCCUAUCCACCGAAAGACUAAGGUUUCCAGAGGAAGGCUCGUCCGCUCUGGGUAAGUCGGGACCUAAGGUGAAGCCGAUAGGUGAAGCCGAUGGACAACAGGUAGAAAUUCCUGUACCACCGAAUAUCGAUUGAGAGAAGUGGGGACAGAGGAGGCUAAUUGAUCGCCCUGAUGGAAUAGGGCGUCUAAGCACAAAGACUGACAAGUAGGCAAAUCCGCUUGUUGUAAAGGUUGAAGUGUGAUGGGGAGCGAAAUAUAGUAGCGAAGUCAAUGAAGCCAAACUCUCAAGAAAAGCCGCUAUCGAGAUAAGAGGUGCCCGUACCGCAAACCGACACAGGUAGUUGGGAAGAGAAUUCUAAGGUGAGCGAGAGAACCAUCGUUAAGGAACUCGGCAAAAUGACCCCGUAACUUCGGGAGAAGGGGUGCCUACGAGAGUAGGCCGCAGUGAAUAGGCCCAAGCGACUGUUUAUCAAAAACACAGGUCUCUGCAAAACCGAAAGGUGAAGUAUAGGGGCUGACGCCUGCCCGGUGCUGGAAGGUUAAGAGGAGUGCUUAGCGCAAGCGAAGGUAUGAAUUGAAGCCCCAGUAAACGGCGGCCGUAACUAUAACGGUCCUAAGGUAGCGAAAUUCCUUGUCGGGUAAGUUCCGACCCGCACGAAAGGCGUAAUGAUUUGGGCACUGUCUCAACGAGAGACUCGGUGAAAUUUUAGUACCUGUGAAGAUGCAGGUUACCCGCGACAGGACGGAAAGACCCCAUGGAGCUUUACUGUAGCUUGAUAUUGAAUUUUGAUGCAGUAUGUACAGGAUAGGUAGGAGCCUAAGAAUCAUGCACGCCAGUGUAUGAGGAGGCGUUGUUGGGAUACUACCCUUGCUGUAUUGAAAUUCUAACCCUCGGCAUAGAAAACCGGGAGACAGUGUCAGGUGGGCAGUUUGACUGGGGCGGUCGCCUC